RNAcentral lists this ribosomal RNA (291 nucleotides) under uncultured prokaryote. RNAcentral's name for it is "partial 16S ribosomal RNA". It matches the Rfam family "Bacterial small subunit ribosomal RNA", at positions 506 to 796 of the family's 1533-position model. The record is from RNAcentral.
GUUCAGCCGCCGCGGUAAUACGGAGGGUGCAAGCGUUAAUCGGAAUUACUGGGCGUAAAGCGCAUGCAGGUGGUUUGUUAAGUCAGAUGUGAAAGCCCGGGGCUCAACCUCGGAAUUGCAUUUGAAACUGGCAGGCUAGAGUACUGUAGAGGGGGGUAGAAUUUCAGGUGUAGCGGUGAAAUGCGUAGAGAUCUGAAGGAAUACCGGUGGCGAAGGCGGCCCCCUGGACAGAUACUGACACUCAGGUGCGAAAGCGUGGGGAGCAAACAGGAUUAGAUACCCCUGUAGUCC